GUGUUGUUCCUUCUGACUAAAGUCCGUUCAUCUUCUACGGUCACAUUCACUUUUGUUCCCACCUGUUCAAAACUCUGAAUUGUUGGCUGUCCGAGGUUUGCUGAAACAAAGGAAAUGAGCUUGGUUGGAACCAAAGAAUUCUGUACAAAGUCAAAUCCUGUUUUGUUAUCACAAUUGACAACUUAAUUAUCUCUCAUAUAAAACAUGUGCAUAGAACCAGCUCCCUGAAAGAAGCAGGCGUGGCGGCCUGGAGCUGAAUCCUAAGACAUUCUGUGGUAGUGCUGGCCCAAGGGGAAGACAAUGGAGCCUCAGAUGUCAUUUUAAGUUUUCUAGUAGUCACAUUAGAAAAAGUAAAAAGGAACAGGUGAAAUUAAUUUUAAUAAUAUAUUUUAUUUAACCAAAGACAGUUGACCCCUGAACAACAUGGGUUUGAACUCUGUGGAUCCACUUGUAUGCAAAUUUUUUUAAAUAAAAGUUACACCAAGUGUGCCGCCUCCUACUUCCUCCAUCUUUUCUCCUGCCGUGGCCCCUGCUCUUCCUCCUCCUCCUCCUCCUCAGCCUACUCAACAUGAAGAUGACGAGGAUGAACACCUUUAUGAUGAUCCACUUCCACUUUAUCAAUAGUAAAUAUAUUUUCUCUUCCUUAUAAUUCUUUCUCUUCCUUCCUUCUUUCUUUU
This 677-nucleotide long non-coding RNA is filed under the name Homo sapiens (human). RNAcentral's name for it is "HSALNT0293951". Lineage: Eukaryota; Metazoa; Chordata; Mammalia; Primates; Hominidae. The record is from RNAcentral.